AAAACAACAACUUAUAGCAAAGAAAAAAAGAAAAGAUAAAACUGGCUGUUUAUUCUCCCACCACCUUUUCUCUCUCUUUUUUCUCUUUUCACUCCUUUUUGGUUAGAAACUCUAACGUGUCUAUUAU
Molecule: non-coding RNA, 127 nt
Filed under: Pteridomonas danica
Lineage: Eukaryota; Dictyochophyceae; Pedinellales
Source: RNAcentral